RNAcentral lists this ribosomal RNA (883 nucleotides) under uncultured eukaryote. RNAcentral's name for it is "SSU rRNA". It matches the Rfam family "Eukaryotic small subunit ribosomal RNA", at positions 562 to 1469 of the family's 1831-position model. The record is from RNAcentral.
UUGUGCCAAGCAGCCGCGGUAAUUCCAGCUCCAAUAGCGUAUAUUAAAGUUGCUGCAGUUAAAAAGCUCGUAGCUGAACCUCGGCCCUGGUUGACCGGUCCGCCUAACGGUGUGCACUGGCUUGACCGGGGCUUUCCUUCUGGCUAGCCUGUAUGGUAUUUAUUUAUCGUGCAGGGGAACCAGGACUUUUACUUUGAAAAAAUUAGAGUGUUCAAAGCAGGCUUAUGCUCGAAUACAUUAGCAUGGAAUAAUAGAAUAGGACGUGUGGUUCUAUUUUGUUGGUUUCUAGGACCGCCGUAAUGAUUAAUAGGGACAGUUGGGGACAUUAGUAUUGAGUUGUCAGAGGUGAAAUUCUUGGAUUUACUCAAGACUAACUACUGCGAAAGCAUUUGUCAAGGAUGUUUUCAUUAGUCAAGAACGAAAGUUAGGGGAUCGAAGACGAUCAGAUACCGUCGUAGUCUUAACCAUAAACUAUGCCGACUAGGGAUCGGGCGAUGUUCUUUUCUUGACUCGCCCGGCACCUUAUGAGAAAUCAAAGUUUUUGGGUUCCGGGGGGAGUAUGGUCGCAAGGCUGAAACUUAAAGAAAUUGACGGAAGGGCACCACCAGGAGUGGAGCCUGCGGCUUAAUUUGACUCAACACGGGGAAACUCACCAGGUCCAGACAAAGUAAGGAUUGACAGAUUGAUAGCUCUUUCUUGAUUCUUUGGGUGGUGGUGCAUGGGCCGUUCUUAGUUGGUGGAGUGAUUUGUCUGCUUAAUUGCGAUAACGAACGAGACCUUAACCUGCUAAAUAGCCCGGCUAGCUUUUGCUGGUCGCUGGCUUCUUAGAGGGACUAUUGGCAUAAAGCCAAUGGAAGUUUGAGGCAAUAACAGGUCUGUGAUG